GGAAGGGUGUCAGAGUGGUCGAAUGUGCCCGCUUGGAAAGCGAGUGUGCGAUGAGCACCGCAGGUUCAAAUCCUGUCCCUUCCGCCA
Molecule: transfer RNA, 87 nt
Filed under: Candidatus Apopatousia equi
Lineage: Bacteria; Bacillati; Bacillota; Clostridia; Christensenellales
Description: tRNA-Ser
Rfam family: tRNA
About the family: Transfer RNA (tRNA) molecules are approximately 80 nucleotides in length. Their secondary structure includes four short double-helical elements and three loops (D, anti-codon, and T loops).
Source: RNAcentral